UCCAAUUCAUUUUCACUUCUAAAUCAAUCACCCUCCUUUAAAUCCAUACAUAUAUUAUUCCUUAUCCAAUUAGGCAGCGAACUCCUGAAUUCAAGAUAGAAUCAGAGAAAGAAAAAAGAACUAGAAUCCAACGGUCAGAAAAACAUAACAUCAUGAAUUUAAUAUUACACUGAAAAACAACUAGAAUCCAACGGUCAGAAAAACAUAACUUCAUGAAUUUAAUAUUACACUGAAAAACAACUAGAAUCCACAAUUAAAAAAAAAAGAUUAAAGAUAUAGAAGAGAGCAAGCAAGUCCAUAUUCCACCAGUAACAAAAGCAUUGUAAGAUAUAGCUUGAUUAAAAAAAAAAAAACUAAUCAUGGCAAUCAAGAAACCAUUGCCUAUAAAGGAAAUAAGCAAAAUAAAGGUCUGCUCACCAUGACUCUCAAUGGCGGACUAAAACAAUACAACUACAAUUUUCAAAAUAAAAAGAAAAAGCCAAACUCGGGAGUCACAAUAAAAUAAACUAAUGAAAAGUUCGAUAGCAUAAAAGAAAGUUGUUUCCCUUCCUUCCUAAUAACAUCUUAUCUAUAUAAUAAAGCAUAAAUUAGACAGCAAAAUUGUAGAAUUAAAACAAAUAAAAAUAAUAAAACAUAAGUUAGACAACAUAAUUCUAGAAUUUUAAAAAUAAUAAGAAAUGAGGGGAUUAAAGUACAGUUAUUUGACUUAUAUUUCUGGGAAUAUGUCAAAAAGUAGUUUAUCAAAAGAAAAAAAUGACUAAGAUGUGUGACAAUUUGUCAAUAAUAUUGUAUAUAGCAAUGAGGUUGGCAAGCAUGGAUGAACUAGAUCAAUUCUCAAGUUAAGCUCGUACGACACGUUCAGAACAUUUCUAUGGAAUUUAUUCCAACAUUUAAAAAUUAGUUUUUAAUUGAAUAAAUAAAGGGUGCGUCUAGUACAGAGCAAAGGCUCUAAACAAUUAAAUUAGAGCCUAGCUUCAAAUAGUGUCAAGAAACGUAGUUUCAAUAUUGGAAACAUUUGUAAUAGCUUUAAAAUAUAUUUCAAUUUUUAAUUAUAAAAUUUAAAAUUUAAAAUAUAGUAUAGAUCAAGCAGAUCUAUGAAAACUUGAAAAUCUAAAAAAUUGAUUGUCUAAAAAUGCAUUACAAGAUGCACUAUUUUUAAAACUUGAAAUCUAUUUUUUUCUCAUGUCUAUGCUUCUUGAUGUAGAGAUGAUCAAUUUGAAGAUAUUUGAGCAUCAAAACAACCUCUUCUAGUGAGAUUUUUGCGGUAGGUUCUAAUUUGAUUGUUUAAAGCCUUGGCUCUAUAUAAACUUUCCCUAUUCAUUUAUCAAAUUCACUUUAGACAAAAAUCAAAAAUGUUUUUAAGAGAUAAUAGUAUGUUUUCAUUGAAAAACGCAAAAAAAUAAUAGUCUAUAUGGUACAUAGUUUAUUAGUACCAUAGCAAACCCAUUUAUUAAUUGAAAAUGAAAAAAAUGGGUUGACUUCUUUAAAAUAUUCCAAAGCAAUUGGCCUACAAAGUUAUUUUAAAAGGUACAAAAUUAAUAUAUACAUAAGUUAUUUUAAAAGGUCCAAAACUACUAGAUAAAUUAUAGAUAUUUCAAAUUUGAAAACUUCAAUACCUCACUCUGGCUUUCCGGAAUAGAUUAUUUUAUGAUGGCGAAAUAAUAAUUAAGAUCAUAUCUCCUCCAAUCCUCCAAGGCCUUUAUGAGUGUAAUGAAUGGUUUCAAAAAAAACUAACAACUAAAUGCAAAAGUUUCAUAUUCCCUAAACCAUGAACUAUGAAUUAGAAGUACUGCUUUCUUUGAUGUUUGUUACAUUUGAUUUAAA
RNAcentral lists this long non-coding RNA (1824 nucleotides) under Amborella trichopoda. RNAcentral's name for it is "long non-coding RNA (ATRI_LNC002028)". Lineage: Eukaryota; Viridiplantae; Streptophyta; Magnoliopsida; Amborellales; Amborellaceae. The record is from RNAcentral.